Molecule: ribosomal RNA, 612 nt
Filed under: Triticum aestivum (bread wheat)
Lineage: Eukaryota; Viridiplantae; Streptophyta; Magnoliopsida; Poales; Poaceae
Description: partial small subunit ribosomal RNA
Source: RNAcentral
GAUCACGGCUCGCCCGAAGAGGCGUUCCCGAACUCCCGAAGCCACGGAGGAAAAAAAAGAAAACCCACCCAGUCCCGCACCUCCUGCGCCGCCCCCUCCCCUCCCCCGAGAACCAGCCACCGGGCCGCCACCGGUCCUAAAUCCGUCCGCCGCGCCGCUCCCUCCCCGGGAUCCGGCCGCCGCGACACCACCUCCCUCGGAUCCGGCCACCGGACCGCCUCCUUCCCCCGGAUCCGGCCGGGAUUGAUCCCACCACCGCCUGCCGCCACCAAGCACCGGCGUGCGACCCCGACGCCGCCUCCCUCCAUGAAGCGCCGGCGCCCGACCCCGUCACCUACCUCUGUUUGCAGGAAAAAUAAAAGAAACCGCUUUCUACAUGCAAAAGGGCAUCAAAUUUUGGAAGAAGUAUGGCGUUGAAUGAAAAAAUGAGGGAAAAAAGGAUCCUCAAGCAAAUCAAGCAAUGGAAAUCUUCCUUGGUGGAGCUAGUAAUGCAAAGCUGCAAAGCUUCAGUUUUAUGUAAUCUUGUCUAAAUUGUGAUAAUUUUAUGUUGCUGUGAACCUCUGCUGUAUUGUUAAGAUUGAACAUUUCACAAAGUCCUAUGUUGAAGCUCCU